GAUAUGACUGAGAAAACAACAAAUUGAUGAGUAAAAAAAUGUUAAUUGGUGGAAAAGCACUAAGAAAGAUAAAUUGUACUGGACAAGUGAUCAACAGUGCGUUAAAUCUUGAUUUCACUUGAAAUCACUGAGGAGUGCCACAUUGUGUGGAGUAUCAGGUUUCAUACAUGUGUGUGCCAAAAGUAGAGUAUGGCACUCCACUUGUUGUUCAUUUGUUUACAAAAGAGGGCAAAAGGUUGAGCAAGAAAAGGAAGGAGAAUGUGGAAAUGAUGUUGAUCAAAUGGCAGUUAAUAAAGGAAGAUGAUAGAAACACAAUAACCAAAGAGGUAGGGAAAAUAAAAAGUAUGAACAUAUAUUUCAGUGUGUGCAAUCUUUGUUGCAGGGAUCAGUGAGAAGCAUAAACUGGAAUUUAAAAAAAAGUUGUUUAAGUAUUUAAUUUUUAUAAAGUUAUUUUACUUUUUCAAAGCUUCCGCAUCUUCAUUUUGUAUGUAUUGUACACAGCUUUUUUGUUAACCUUUAUCUCAUGCAAUUUCAUUUCUUUAAAUCAAAUAAAUGUUUUUAAAAGAAAAAUAAUAACAUAUGUUCAUGGGCACAGUAUCACUUGGUGCUUCAACACUUUUUGAGGGCUCCAUAUUUGUGCUCACAGAACAGUCCUUUUGAGCUUCUAAUAAUCAGAGAUAUAAAAUAUUCUAUUUGUUCCAAAGAUUGAAAUUAGUGGAGUAUGUACAUUGUAUCUGUCACUUAAAGGAUAUUAGAGGGUCAAGUAAAGUUCCAAAUUGUUGGAAACCCAAUUCAAAGAGGAAAAAUAUAGUUAGUAUCGCUUGAGUGCAGUACAUUUCUUGCCAUGGAUUUUGGAUAUAUACUGUGUAUUGUAGGAAACGGAUUAUAUAUUUUUUAAUUGUUUUAUUUCAUAUCUAACACAUUUUGAGUUGUAUUUUUAUGUCACGGGUAUGUUCUUUUCAUCUUGAAGCUGUAAAAGCUGAGAGGGUAUGGCACGCUCAAGGCUCAUUCAGAUAUGACACGGUAAACCAACACGAUAACAAAACUCUCACUUCAAAGGGGGUGUAGCAUGACAAGACUACAUCUGUUUCCUGGGGCCAAUUGGGUAUAACACAACUAUGAACGACGCGACCGCAGUAUUCAUGUGCGUGCAACAUACGCAAAACUGAAGCGUGAGCAGAACUUCGGUCUGUUUCGCGAAUGCUAGCGCUCUCUGACCAUUAAUCAAGUCCAUUCGUUUACGUACAGUUGUCCAAAAUAAGUUGUAGAUGGUGUUAACCAGUAUUUGCCAUGCUACACCCCCUUUAAAAAAUUGUACAAUGAAUGACAUCUGAAUGCAACAAAUGACCUACGUGUAUUCACUUAGCCCCGUAUUAUGAUAUACAGAAAUUGGAAGCAUAUUACGCUUUCCUACUGUUUACUGCGACUCAUCUGAACAAGACUUUAUCGCUGGUGAAGACUUUAUUUCACACAACUGCUAAUAAAGAAGGUAUAUGUACUGGGGUAUUGUAAAAUGAUGUUUAUCCAAUGCACCUAUGGCAAUUCCUGUCCGAGGGACUUCAUGAUCGAGGAAGAAUGACUAUGUCAUGACCAAUCGGGUUUGUGAGUAAAUGUUUUAGUUGGAUGAAACAACGUACCUAUGACUCUUUCUUUAUGGGUUGUAUUGUCAAUUUGAAAUUUAGCAGAGAAAAAAAGGGGGAGAAAAAUGCAUUUACAUGUUUUACAAGACUUGUAUCUAAAGCACCAUAAUAAAUAAUGUGUGCUGCAAUCAUACAGUACCACUGGCCAAAUAGUAUGUCAUCGUAAUGCUAAGAAGCUCUGCCUGACCUUGCGUUGAUCAGAAAUAUCAUUACACAAAACGCUGAAGUAUAUUGUACAUGUGUAUGUGCCUAGAAUGAGCAGAUCAGUGUGGAGGUGUUGUGGUCUAGUGGAUGAGUCUCCGGACGAUGAGCCACAAGAUACAGGAUUCAAAUCCAGCCGCGGCAAUAUUGUCCUUUGGGAAGACUUUAAUGUGCAUUUGCCACACUCGACCCAGGUGUAGUAAGUGGAUACCUGGUAGGAUAUAUAUAUAUUCCUUGAAUACACUGAGCGCUACAGUUGCCAGAGAUGAAGCCGGCGUAAUAAAUAAUAUUCAAAGCUCUGUGGAAGCCUGUGGAGACGUUAUAUCAUAAUGUGAAAUGCGCUACACAAGAACGGCAUAUUAUAAUUAUGAUUAUUAGUAACUAUAACUUAAAAUUGGUACAUUCUAUUUGAAAGUACAGAUACGUGGCCUUCACUUAUUAUCUCCAUCCAUUAUUUGAUAUGUUUUAAAACUGAAUGUGUGUUGAACUGUAUUUACCUGUCACAUUGAGUAGAUGAGGUGUACUAAAUGGAAUAAUAUCUGUUGAUAUUUGUUUAUUUCAUUACCAGUAAUUGUUUCAUAACUCUCUAUAUGCCAAAGAUGAAAUGUUAAGGACCAAGUAGUAGCAUUUAUGCAUGGUUUUUUAGGUAACAGUUAUAUUAUAAGAAGUUAUUAUUGGUAUACAUGACACAUAUUGAGUAGAUGAGGUGUACUAAAUGGAAUAAUAUCUGUUGAUAUUUGUUUAUUUCAUUACCGGUAAUCGAUUCAUAAAUCUCUUUGUGCCAAAGAUGGAAUGUUAAGGACCAAGUAGUAGCACUUGUGCAUGGUAUUUAGGUAACAGUUAUAUUAUAGGAAGUUAUUAUUGGUGUACAUGACACAAAACUUCCUUGCAGAGAAUGUUCAACAGGAACAUCAAAUCUAGUUUGUUGUAUGUAAAACCAUUUCUGUGCCUUUGAUUGUUUAACAUUUAGGUGAUAAAACCAUUACGAAUGCAUUCCAUUAGUACAUACUGUGUGCUCUUUAGCAAAAUGUUGAUUGACAAGUGCAAACGUCCGUUCAAGUAAUAUUGUUCUUGCUAACAAUUUUGAAAAAUGAAACUCGUUGGGAAGUUUCAGUACCCUAGCUAGCGUAUAUUCCAUUGAAAUCAUGUUCAGAUUACUUGAUGCAUCAUUGUAAUGUAUGUACGUUUCAACAGGUAAUGGCCGGGCUACUGAUAUAACCAUAGGUUGACUUUUUGAAAUCUUUGAGAUCUUGUGUAAUGUAGUUACCUGAAUCUCUUUUGGCUAAAAGGGAGAUAUACUUGGGUUAAUGGAGAAAAGAAAAGAAUUUAUAACAUUACUUUCACGUUUUAGAGAAUUUUAAAAAGUUUUUUCUACAUUGCUAAGCGUUGUAUUGAUUUCUAUUUACCCCCCCCCCCCCUCCCCUCUUUUGUUACAAUGCCGGAUCUGCAUUUGAUUGAGGUUAUUUGUAAAACUUAAAGUUGUAAAUGAGAAUAGAAAUCGUAAAAAACAUUGUAAAUGCUGUGUUCUUGUGGAAAAUUUGGGCCAUCUCUAGAGACCUUUCUUUGAAAUACAUUAGUCCAACUUAACGGGUAUAGAUUUUAGAAGGUCAUAUGAGUGGAAUGUGUGUUUUUGCCAAGUAUACUUUUGUUAAAAAUUAUAGAAAUACCUGAAUAAGGAUUUACAAGUGUAUUUUCAGCUCAAGCAUAUUUGAUAAGGCUGUUAUAUUUAGAGGCUGAAGCUGAUAUUGAGUUCAAAAUGUGAUAUAAUGUAAUCUUGGGACCUUUUCCUUACAACUCUAUUGAAUUUUUCACAGUCAUACGUUGGGAUGGAUAGAUUUAAACAAGUAGUUGGUAACAGGUAGCUAUAUUGUUAUGCAAGUAUUUUGUAAGAUCCAUGUAAAGCACAUUUUAUUUGUUUAUGAAUAGCAUAAUUUUGCAGAAAUAAAUUUAUUAUAAAGAAUGUUCAUACAAAUUUUCUUUAUAUUAAAUAUGACAAAUAUAAUUUUUGCAUUAUCCAGUUGAGAAAGAAGAAAUGCCUUGUGGUAUUUGAUUGUUACAAUGGAGCUUCCAAGCAGAAUGAUGCUGCAUUAAAAAAAAAAGAUGAUUUUCGUUUUGUGAGAGUCUUCUUUUGGAUUUUGAUACAAAUAAUGCAUAGCUGUCUCAACAUCCGUCCAUGCUAUGGCCUAGUACAUGUUUAUGUAUUUUUUUAAAUGUCAAUUGACAGUAUUCAAAUGUUAGUUUGUUAUUUUUUUAAAGUUAGAAUUUGUAAUAAAAUAUUAUAUUGCAGAUCAGAAAA
Molecule: long non-coding RNA, 4137 nt
Organism: Strongylocentrotus purpuratus (purple sea urchin)
Lineage: Eukaryota; Metazoa; Echinodermata; Echinoidea; Camarodonta; Strongylocentrotidae
Exons: 2
Source: RefSeq, a predicted model, not a curated record